This 436-nucleotide ribosomal RNA is filed under the name uncultured Gammaproteobacteria bacterium. RNAcentral describes it as "bacterial SSU rRNA". It matches the Rfam family "Bacterial small subunit ribosomal RNA", at positions 43 to 477 of the family's 1533-position model. The record is from RNAcentral. Lineage: Bacteria; Pseudomonadati; Pseudomonadota; Gammaproteobacteria.
CAGGCCUAACACAUGCAAGUCGAACGGAAACGAUGGGAGCUUGCUCCCAGGCGUCGAGUGGCGGACGGGUGAGUAACGCUUAGGAAUCUACCCAGUAGUGGGGGACAACAUUCGGAAACGGAUGCUAAUACCGCAUACGCACUACGGUGGAAAGUGGGGGAUCUUCGGACCUCACGCUAUUGGAUGAGCCUAAGUCGGAUUAGCUUGUUGGUGAGGUAAUGGCUCACCAAGGCGACGAUCCGUAGCUGGUCUGAGAGGACGAUCAGCCACACUGGGACUGAGACACGGCCCAGACUCCUACGGGAGGCAGCAGUGGGGAAUAUUGGACAAUGGGCGCAAGCCUGAUCCAGCAAUGCCGCGUGUGUGAAGAAGGCCUGCGGGUUGUAAAGCACUUUCAGUAGAGAAGAAAAGCCUAGGGUUAAUAGCCCUGAGUGCU